This is a small nucleolar RNA of Sorex araneus (European shrew), 104 nucleotides long. The record is from Ensembl. NCBI's taxonomy places the organism in Eukaryota, Metazoa, Chordata, Mammalia, Eulipotyphla, Soricidae.
AUUUUUUCUCAGUUCAUAAACAAGACGAUUAAGUGCUCACAUAUUUGUGUGACUUAUUCCUCCCUUAAAUCUUGUUAGAAUAUUGGCACAUUACCCAUCUGAUG